UACGGAGGAUGCGAGCGUUAUCCGGAUUUAUUGGGUUUAAAGGGUGCGUAGGCGGAUCGUUAAGUCAGUGGUCAAAUUGAGGGGCUCAACCCCUUCCCGCCAUUGAAACUGGCGAUCUUGAGUGGAAGAGAAGUAUGCGGAAUGCGUGGUGUAGCGGUGAAAUGCAUAGAUAUCACGCAGAACCCCGAUUGCGAAGGCAGCAUGCCAGCUUCCGACUGACGCUGAAGCACGAAAGCGUGGGGAUCGAACAGG
This 252-nucleotide ribosomal RNA is filed under the name uncultured bacterium. RNAcentral's name for it is "partial 16S ribosomal RNA". It matches the Rfam family "Bacterial small subunit ribosomal RNA", at positions 524 to 776 of the family's 1533-position model. The record is from RNAcentral.